RNAcentral lists this ribosomal RNA (394 nucleotides) under uncultured bacterium. RNAcentral's name for it is "bacterial SSU rRNA". It matches the Rfam family "Bacterial small subunit ribosomal RNA", at positions 775 to 1181 of the family's 1533-position model. The record is from RNAcentral.
GGAUUAGAUACCCGGGUAGUCCACGCCGUAAACGAUGAGUGCUAAGUGUUAGGGGGUUUCCGCCCCUUAGUGCUGCAGCUAACGCAUUAAGCACUCCGCCUGGGGAGUACGGCCGCAAGGCUGAAGCUCAAAGGAAUUGACGGGGGCCCGCACAAGCAGCGGAGCGUGAGGUUUAAUUCGAAGCAACGCGAAGAACCUUACCAGGGCUUGACAUGAUCAGGAAGUCGGCGGAAACGUCGGUGCCCCGCAAGGGGCCUGGCCACAGGUGUUGCAUGGCUGUCGUCAGCUCGUGUCGUGAGAUGUUGGGUUAAGUCCCGCAACGAGCGCAGCCCCUACUGUGUGUUGUAUCACUCACACGGGACUGCCGGGGUCAACUCGGAGGAAGGUGGGGACG